RNAcentral lists this non-coding RNA (18 nucleotides) under Mus musculus (house mouse). Lineage: Eukaryota; Metazoa; Chordata; Mammalia; Rodentia; Muridae. The record is from RNAcentral.
CUGUAGGCAUCCAUCAAU